Molecule: transfer RNA, 98 nt
Filed under: Verrucomicrobiia bacterium
Lineage: Bacteria; Pseudomonadati; Verrucomicrobiota; Verrucomicrobiia
Description: tRNA-Ser
Source: RNAcentral
GGAGUCAUCAACCGGACCAGCGUGCCGGCUUCGCCUGCUAAGCGAUUGGUGCCGCCCUCAUCGGGCGGCAUGAGGUGCAAGUCCUCGUGGCUCCGCCA